Molecule: non-coding RNA, 89 nt
Filed under: Clostridium cuniculi
Lineage: Bacteria; Bacillati; Bacillota; Clostridia; Eubacteriales; Clostridiaceae
Description: Purine riboswitch
Rfam family: Purine riboswitch aptamer
About the family: Riboswitches are metabolite binding domains within certain messenger RNAs that serve as precision sensors for their corresponding targets. Allosteric rearrangement of mRNA structure is mediated by ligand binding, and this results in modulation of gene expression.
Source: RNAcentral
AUAAUGAAAUAACUCAUAUAGACCCCUGAGAUGGUGGGGUGUUUCUACCGGAAGCCGUUAAUUUCCGACUAUGAGUGAAUAUGAUAUAU